AAUACGUUCCCGGAUCUUGCACACACCGCCCGUCAAGCCAUGGAAGUGGGUGUACCUUAAGACGAUAACCGCAAGGAUUUGUCCAAGGUAAACUCGUAACUGGGCU
Molecule: ribosomal RNA, 106 nt
Filed under: uncultured bacterium
Lineage: Bacteria
Description: partial 16S ribosomal RNA
Rfam family: Bacterial small subunit ribosomal RNA
Source: RNAcentral